UUGGAAGUAAAAAGUCGUAACAAGGUCUCCGUUGGUGAACCAGCGGAGGGAUCAUUACCGAGUUUACAACUCCCAAACCCCUGUGAACAUACCAAUUGUUGCCUCGGCGGAUCAGCCCGCUCCCGGUAAAACGGGACGGCCCGCCAGAGGACCCCUAAACUCUGUUUCUAUAUGUAACUUCUGAGUAAAACCAUAAAUAAAUCAAAACUUUCAACAACGGAUCUCUUGGUUCUGGCAUCGAUGAAGAACGCAGCAAAAUGCGAUAAGUAAUGUGAAUUGCAGAAUUCAGUGAAUCAUCGAAUCUUUGAACGCACAUUGCGCCCGCCAGUAUUCUGGCGGGCAUGCCUGUUCGAGCGUCAUUUCAACCCUCAAGCCCAGCUUGGUGUUGGGACUCGCGAGUCAAAUCGCGUUCCCCAAAUUGAUUGGCGGUCACGUCGAGCUUCCAUAGCGUAGUAGUAAAACCCUCGUUACUGGUAAUCGUCGCGGCCACGCCGUUAAACCCCAACUUCUGAAUGUUGACCUCGGAUCAGGUAGGAAUACCCGCUGAACUUAAGCAUAUCAAAANCGGGAAGGAAA
This 576-nucleotide ribosomal RNA is filed under the name Pestalotiopsis disseminata. RNAcentral describes it as "eukaryotic LSU rRNA". The stretch from base 206 to 359 matches the Rfam family "5.8S ribosomal RNA". The record is from RNAcentral. Lineage: Eukaryota; Fungi; Ascomycota; Sordariomycetes; Amphisphaeriales; Sporocadaceae.